CAACACAAAUUUAUUUAUUUAUUUAUUUAUUUAUUGUAAAUGUGUAAAAAAGACGUUAACAUGAUAACUUUGCAUUGGCACUACAUGAGUCAUUUUUGUUGAAGACUCAAACUAGACUGGUGGAUUUUUGGGUUGCAGCAUGAUUUGCAUUGUGCCGGAUCAAGAGAGUGCAUGUUGAAACUGCGGGCAGUCGUGGCCUAAUGGUUAGAGAGUUGGACUUGUAACCCAGGUCAUGGGUUCGAGUCUCGGUACUGGAAAGGAUUGCAGUUGGGGGGAGUUAAUGUACAGCGCUCUCUUCCACUCUCAAUACCUCGACUGAGGUGAGACCCUUGAGCAAGGCACAGAAGCACCAACUGCUUCCCGGGCGCUGCAGCAAAAAAGGCUGCCCACUGUUCUGGGUUUGUGUGUGUGUUCACUUGGAUGGGUGAAAUGCAGAGCACAAAUUCCAAGUAUGGAACACCAUCCUUGGCCACAUAUCACGCCCUUUCCUUUCCUUGUUGCAUAUCAGUUUGUUGUAAUUCUACUCCCAACCUCAAGGUGGAACUAGGGAGGGUUCUAAAGGAAGUGCUAUCCUGAUAAGAGAGACAACGAGGAGUGUUUGGUAGAGGUAAUGUCAUGCUUUUGAGUGUGUACUCGGUUUUAUGCAGUAAACCCUGUUAUAAGAAACAUCUUUUGUUCUACAGCUUCAUAGCAUUUUCUUUGGGCCUCAUUCACUCAUCAAGUUUAUGGACACUUCAUCUGGACUAUAGUUAUACUUGUACAUCAUUGACCACCUCUUUCCUGGACUAUUCUUUAUGUGGAUGCACGUUCACAGGAGUACUAUGACGCAUAUGUGUGAUGCUGCUGACGCACGAGCCGGCGUUCUGACGUGGAACCUGGAUGUGCUGUGCCUUGUUUGCAAGCAGGGGAAUGCACUCUCAUGAAUGCAACACGGAAGAGAAGAAAUUGUUGAAUAAAGUCUUUUUUUCUUUGCACACAAAAAGUAUUCUUGUAGCUUCAUAACAUUACGAUUGAACCACAGCACAACUAUUUGCAGUAUUGAUAAUAUUAAUAAAUGUUUCUUGAGCAGCAAAUCAGCAUAUUAGAUUUCUGAAGGAUCAUGUGACACUGAAUACUGAAGGAGUAAUGAUGCUGAAAAUUCAGCAUUGAUAUCACAGGAGUACAUUACAUUUUUAAAAUAUUCAAAACUUUUACUGUACAUCUUUCACAUUAUUAUUUUUUUAAUUCUACGUCAUAUUUCUCACUUUCUUACAUCUCUUCAUCGCCGCCAUCUCUUUGGAGGAGAUUCUCAUCAAAGCCUCUCUGUCAUUCCAGCAUGUUUUUUAUGGCACUGGUGAGAAGUACUUACCCUGAAGGACUCCAGCCAUCGGAAUUUAGAUGGAGAAUUUUCCCUCCCCUUUCUUCACUGCCUUUUUACACAAAUGGAGAGUGCGGACAGGGUAUUAUUAAAGGGCUUUUUUUCUUUCUCUCUGCAUUGCACACUAGUGCACUCAAGAUGUAGUUGAAAAAAAAAAAAAAAAGGCCAGCUCUUGCUCUUAAGAUCAGGUAAUUCCAGUCUGAGUAAUCCCAUUGGGGAAUUUGGUGAGGAAAAUGAUGCAACGACGUGUACACAAGUAUAAAACUAGAACAUGUUUGAGUUUAUGUGUGGGCGUGAUGGAGUGGAAGGAAAGAGAAAUUGAAAUUGUGAGAGGAGGAUUAUAUUGUAUAAUUUGAAGUAUUCAUUUGGACAAGUAGGUGUCCAACUGUGCAUUCCAUGUAUUAAACAUACCUCCCCGCUGCUUUACCUGAAUACCGGCCACACACACACACUUUUCUACAUCAUAUUUUGUCUGCAGAAAGGUGGGUGGAAUGGGAGAAUUCGUAACAAGGGUUGUGGUUAUUGCAAUUUUAUUCAGACUCCACACAUGGAUCAUGAACAACAAUUCAAUUUAGAGUUCAAAUAAUAUCAGACCGUGUAAUCAGUGUUGACAUAAAUACCUUUUAUAUGGUGAUUUGUUCUUGUGAAAAAAGAUUACAUUUAAAUAAUUUCCUUUGUUAUACUAAUGGUAAUUUCGGUUUCAAAACCUGGUGAGCUGCUGUACCUUACUGUGCCUUAUUUUGCCCAAAUUCAGGCAAGAUCUGCAUGUACUUUUAACAGGCAGUCCCAGAAUACACUGUGCUGAGCGAAGCACAAUUCAUAUCAAUAAUAUUAUGAAUCUUAAAAAAGCUUUUGUCCACCACGUAAAAGUCAGUGAUGAAACCAACAUUACAUUAUUUCAUUUAGCAAACAUUUACUAUGCAGAUGU
This is a long non-coding RNA of Cyprinus carpio carpio, 2285 nucleotides long. Lineage: Eukaryota; Metazoa; Chordata; Actinopteri; Cypriniformes; Cyprinidae. The record is from Ensembl.